This 403-nucleotide ribosomal RNA is filed under the name uncultured bacterium. RNAcentral's name for it is "partial 16S ribosomal RNA". It matches the Rfam family "Bacterial small subunit ribosomal RNA", at positions 28 to 526 of the family's 1533-position model. The record is from RNAcentral.
GACGAACGCUGGCGGCGUGCUUAACACAUGCAAGUCGAACGAGUCGCGAACGGGUGAGUAAUGUAUGGGGACUGCCCGAUAGAGGGGGAAAACUACUGGAAACGGUGGCUAAUACCGCAUACUGCGGGUUAACACAUAUGGGAUUAGCUAGUAGGUGAGGUAAUGGCUUACGUAGGCGACGAUCCCUAGCUGGUCUGAGAGGAUGAUCAGCCACACUGGGACUGAGACACGGCCCAGACUCCUACGGAGGCAGCAGUGGGGAAUAUUGGACAAUGGGCGCAAGCCUGAUGCAGCCAUGCCGCGUGUAUGAAGAAGGCCCUAGGGUUGUAAAGUACUUUCGGUCGGGAGGCGUUACCGACAGAAGAAGCACCGGCUAACUCCGUGCCAGCAGCCGCGGUAAUAC